RNAcentral lists this ribosomal RNA (464 nucleotides) under Prevotella sp. oral taxon B62. RNAcentral's name for it is "bacterial SSU rRNA". It matches the Rfam family "Bacterial small subunit ribosomal RNA", at positions 28 to 483 of the family's 1533-position model. Lineage: Bacteria; Pseudomonadati; Bacteroidota; Bacteroidia; Bacteroidales; Prevotellaceae. The record is from RNAcentral.
GAUGAACGCUAGCUACAGGCUUAACACAUGCAAGUCGAGGGGCAGCAUAAAGAUUGCUUGCAAUUUUUGAUGGCGACCGGCGCACGGGUGAGUAACGCGUAUCCAACCUACCUAUGACAUAGGGAUAAUCCGGCGAAAGUCGGCCUAAUACCUUAUAUAGUUUAUCGUUGGCAUCUUCUAUGAACAAAAGAUUUAUCGGUUAUAGAUGGGGAUGCGUCUGUGGGUUGUUGGCGGGGUAACGGCCCACCAAGGCAUCGAUCAGUAGGGGUUCUGAGAGGAAGGUCCCCCACAUUGGAACUGAGACACGGUCCAAACUCCUACGGGAGGCAGCAGUGAGGAAUAUUGGUCAAUGGGCGUAAGCCUGAACCAGCCAAGUAGCGUGCAGGACGACUGCCCUAUGGGUUGUAAACUGCUUUUAUGCGGGGAUAAAUGAUAUCACGUGUGAUGUUUUGCAGGUACCGCAU